GGCGCAAUCGAAUAGUGGUAAAUUCGGCUGGCUCUCAAUCAGCAAACGGGGGUUCAAUUCCCCCUUGCGCCACCA
Molecule: transfer RNA, 75 nt
Filed under: bacterium
Lineage: Bacteria
Description: tRNA-Glu
Rfam family: tRNA
About the family: Transfer RNA (tRNA) molecules are approximately 80 nucleotides in length.
Source: RNAcentral